AUGGAGCCGAUCAAACCCACUACCCUAACAAGCAAGAUCCGCGUCCAACAUGAACCCACUGAUGGCGAAGAUGCGGCGAGCGGGACUAUCGGCGGCCUCCCUUUCCACCUCACAGAACAGAUCCUCGGCUACAUCAGCCCGCUCGAGUCGGUACGCCUCGCCGCCGUCUGCAAGUCCUGGGCGGCGACCGUCUCCGAGCGGCUAGCGAGACCCACCCCGCACCUGCUCGCGCUCAAGGUCUCCAACGAGUGGUUCCAGCUGCCGCCCGUGGAGGAGCCCCGCCGUGUGGCCAUCUUCCCCUUUCAGAUCGAUGGGGAGGGCUCGCCGUCGGCGGUGGUCCCUCUCCCUGCCCGCGUGCCCUCCAUGGUCUGCGACGUAGAACGUGUCAAGUUAUCCGGCGCGCUGCACUGCGGCCGUCUCUCCUUCGAGGACGGCAACCACGUUGUCCCCGUCAUCCCCGUCACCGGCGCGUUCCGGAGCGAGAUGUAUGCCCCCGUUGGGACGACUGAAGCUAAGGCAAGGGUCGCCGCCGGCGCCAACGCGGUCUUCGUUAACAACCACUCUGAGAUGAGCGUCCCUCUCUUCUGGUGCACGGAGGAGUGGCCCGAGGAGCAGAAGCUGAUUUCCGAAAAGUUCAAAAGCAUUUAUCUGAUGGCCUACACGGACGGCGUCUUCUACGCGCUGGAAUUCUGGGGUUGCACCUACACCGUGGACACACGUGUGCCACCGCCAUGGCGCCUGAAGAAGCUCCAUGUGCCGAACAUUCUCGAACAGUACACCCCGAUCUGUGGGUACCACUUCCUCUGGUACACCCACCUGCUGGAGUCGGACGGGUCGGUCCUGUUUGUUGGUCCGGUGCUCACUCCACAAGAACCCACAGACCUCGAUACCAUCAGUGGCUUCGAGGUGUAUAGGCUAGAUGUCGAGGAGGCACGAUGGAUAAAAGUGGAGAGGCUAGCUGCUGAUCGGGCGCUUUUCGUGAGUGAGCAAUCAUCGUUCACGGUGCGCGCCUUGGAGAUUCCGGGGUGCAUGAGCAACUGCAUCUACUUUGUGGGUGAGGUCGACUACUACUCUUGGGUCACCUGGGGCAUCUACUCCAUGGAGGAGCGGAAGGUGCUGUUUCAACAACCCGUCGGUGGUUCUCCGGGAAAGUAUGAAGCUGCACGGUGGUUCCUCCCUGCUGUUUUGAUGCCGCUUGCACAUGCGCGUUCCGAUUGUAGACACUCGGGAAAGAAGAGAAAAAUCUAA
Molecule: ribosomal RNA, 1248 nt
Filed under: Triticum aestivum (bread wheat)
Lineage: Eukaryota; Viridiplantae; Streptophyta; Magnoliopsida; Poales; Poaceae
Description: partial small subunit ribosomal RNA
Source: RNAcentral